This 253-nucleotide ribosomal RNA is filed under the name uncultured bacterium. Its description in RNAcentral is "partial 16S ribosomal RNA". It matches the Rfam family "Bacterial small subunit ribosomal RNA", at positions 524 to 776 of the family's 1533-position model. The record is from RNAcentral.
GACGUAGGGCGCGAGCGUUGUCCGGAUUUACUGGGCGUAAAGAGCGCGUAGGCGGUCGUUCAAGUCGAGUGUGAAAGCCCCCGGCUCAACUGGGGAGGGUCACUCGAUACUGAUCGACUUGAAGGCAGGAGAGGGAAGCGGAAUUCCCGGUGUAGUGGUGAAAUGCGUAGAUAUCGGGAGGAACACCAGUGGCGAAGGCGGCUUCCUGGCCUGUUCUUGACGCUGAGGCGCGAAAGCUAGGGGAGCAAACGGG